Molecule: ribosomal RNA, 319 nt
Filed under: uncultured bacterium
Lineage: Bacteria
Description: bacterial SSU rRNA
Rfam family: Bacterial small subunit ribosomal RNA
Source: RNAcentral
UGCAAGUAUGCUGAAAAUAAGGAUCGGCUAACUCCGUGCCAGCAGCCGCGGUAAUACGGAGGAUCCGAGCGUUAUCCGGAUUUAUUGGGUUUAAAGGGUGCGCAGGCGGCUUUUUAAGUCAGUGGUUAAAUCGUGAGGCUCAACCUCAUCACGCCAUUGAUACUGGAGAGCUUGAUUGCGGUUGAGGUUGGCGGAAUUCGUCGUGUAGCGGUGAAAUGCAUAGAUAUGACGAAGAACCCCGAUUGCGUAGGCAGCUGACCAAGCCGUAAAUGACGCUCAUGCACGAAAGUGCGGGGAUCGAACAGGAUUAGAUACCCUG